AUAUAUAUAUAUAUAUAAGAUAAGAAACUGAGCCAAUGGGAGCAGAAAAGAACCGUCAAGAGACUUGCGUAACAAGGAAAUGGAACUUCAUAAAGAUAGAAAAGGAUAUAAAAACAUCUAAAGCCUUGCAAAUGUCAGUCAGUGCUGUUCAAUUACUUAUUAAGAAGAGCGAAAUUCAGGGAUCUCUUGAUACCAAGCCAAGGUCCAGUAGACCAAGACCAAGAUUUCACAAACAUAAUUUUACGUCAAUGCAAACCCACACUCUGUCCUGUUAUAUAAACACUGUCUUUCUGACCUUGUACGACAUUGAGCUGUACGCACUGUCCCUAUAGUAUCUUUGUAUCUAUCCUCCUGAGUCCUGGAGAGUAGAGAACAGGAUCUCCUACCAGAUCAGCUUAAACUUAAACCAUGUUUUCUUUAUCUUUGUUGAUGCUGAAAGCUAGUGUUUGUGUUCAGGGUCAGACAUUGACUGAGUCUGAACCAGUGGUUACAAGCCUGGGGAAUUACACCAACUGACCUGUACAGGCUCUGGGUUCACAUUCAGUAGCUCCUGGAUGGGUUGUGAGAGAUUAUGGGCAUUGGAAACUUAACACGACGCAUAAGUGCUGACUAACUCUGAACAAAGGACAAUAGAUAGGACGUGAUGCUCGUUACUGAUGGGACCUACACAUCCUAUCCAUACAUCCUCUCCAUACCACCUGAUUGGAGUUGUCCAUGUGACUGCCAUAGGCUCUGUAAAUAAGCCCAUAGACCAUAGGUUGGAACAUACCAUAAAAUUAUAUUUUGUAGGAAAAACCUUUCUUAUUGGAAGAAAAUGGACAGUGUAACAGUUGGCUAUAACCACUGACUGCCUGGCAUAAACGACUGUGUUAACUUUGUAAUCAUUGGAGAACAUGUAAGAACUAUGGAAGAUCAACAUCUUGGACUCAUACAAAUAAAGAAAGUUCUCCCCUGGCUUCCAGUUGAAUUCAUUUUGUUCAUGGAUCAAAAGUGGACAGAAUUCAACAGUUGGAUCAAACAGGUUUCUGGAAAAGCACUUGAAUGGAUUGUUUAUAUACAUGGUACCACAGUUAACUUCUCCCCCUUCAGAUGAGCAGCCUAAAGAAUAAGGACACAGCC
This is a long non-coding RNA of Esox lucius (northern pike), 1119 nucleotides long. NCBI's taxonomy places the organism in Eukaryota, Metazoa, Chordata, Actinopteri, Esociformes, Esocidae. The record is from Ensembl.